UAUAAAAGAGUUACCUGAAAUAACCAAACAUGUCCAGGACACUUAUGUUGAGGCUGAAACUGUGACAGGUGAAAAGCCAUUGGCACCUGGAAACGACACUGGCCUACCAAUUGAGGGGAAAAUCCAGACAGAAGAAGGUAGUGAUAAACAAAAUUCAGCAUGUCAGAUGGCUGAAUCUGGUCCUACAAAAGAUUCUGUUAAGGGGUCAGAAAAAGAGCAACCAGCUACAGAGUUUGAAGAGACAAGGCUGAG
RNAcentral lists this unclassified non-coding RNA (252 nucleotides) under Hevea brasiliensis (rubber tree). The record is from RNAcentral. Lineage: Eukaryota; Viridiplantae; Streptophyta; Magnoliopsida; Malpighiales; Euphorbiaceae.